Molecule: long non-coding RNA, 343 nt
Filed under: Rosa chinensis
Lineage: Eukaryota; Viridiplantae; Streptophyta; Magnoliopsida; Rosales; Rosaceae
Description: sRNA RchiOBHm_Chr4g0418781
Source: RNAcentral
UAUUUUGGCUGAUAGCUAUUUCAAGAACUAAUCCAUGAGUUUAUUCUGGAGGGCUAUGGCUUUUUUUCUUCUGCACUGGAGUGCUCCUACUUGAACUGCAUCAUCACAUCCCCAAAAGAGGAGUUGGAAUUUUUCUUCACAUUUGAUUCUGGGAAGAACAAGAGAGCCUGGGAGCAGUUAUUAGAAUUGAGAUGGGUGCUUUUGCAACACCAGUUAUAAGGUCUUUUUCCUUUGACAACAGAGUUUGAUCGCUAAAGCAGGUAUUCGAUUAGCCCUUGAAGUUGGAAUUCUACCCCUUGAAGUAGAGCCUGAUAGUAUGAAGGCUGGUAGCUUGGUAACCUCU